UGCAGAGCCUGGCCGGCGGCCGAGGUCAGCCGGAGGGGUUGAGGGUAGUUCGGAUUGACUGGGGGUAAGGGGCGUGUAGGAGGUCGGUCCCGUCCGGUGUGAAAGCCCGGUGCUCAGCCCCGGAAGUUCAGCGGAAACUAGCCGACUUGAGCGCGAUAGAGGAGGGUGGAAUUCCUGGUGUAGCGGUGAAAUGCGUAGAUAUCAGGAGGAACACCGGCGGCGAAGGCGGCCCUCUGGAUCGUUGCUGACGCUGAGACGCGAAAGCGUGGGGAGCAAACAGGAUUAGAUACCCCUGUAGUC
RNAcentral lists this ribosomal RNA (300 nucleotides) under uncultured Desulfurococcus sp. RNAcentral's name for it is "bacterial SSU rRNA". The stretch from base 52 to 300 matches the Rfam family "Bacterial small subunit ribosomal RNA", at positions 547 to 795 of the family's 1533-position model. The record is from RNAcentral. Lineage: Archaea; Thermoproteati; Thermoproteota; Thermoprotei; Desulfurococcales; Desulfurococcaceae.